Molecule: non-coding RNA, 45 nt
Filed under: Schistosoma mansoni
Lineage: Eukaryota; Metazoa; Platyhelminthes; Trematoda; Strigeidida; Schistosomatidae
Source: RNAcentral
AUCCAGCUGAUGAGUCCCAACCAAGACGAAACAUGCGUCCUGGAU